This 370-nucleotide ribosomal RNA is filed under the name uncultured organism. RNAcentral describes it as "partial 16S ribosomal RNA". It matches the Rfam family "Bacterial small subunit ribosomal RNA", at positions 527 to 896 of the family's 1533-position model. The record is from RNAcentral.
AGAGGGUGCGAGCGUUAAUCGGAAUUACUGGGCGUAAAGCGCACGUAGGUGGGUAAACAAGUCGGAUGUGAGAUUCCUGGGCUCAACCUGGGCAUGUCAUUCGAAACUGUAUAUCUAGAGUAUAGUAGAGGGAAGUGGAAUUUCCGGUGUAGCGGUGAAAUGCGUAGAUAUCGGAAGGAACACCAGUGGCGAAGGCGGCUUUCUGGACUAAUACUGACACUGAGGAGCGAAAGCGUGGGGUAGCGAACAGGAUUAGAUACCCUGGUAGUCCACGCUGUAAACGAUGAGUACUAGCCGUUGGGGUGUUAACCAUCUUAGUGGCGCAGCAAACGCGAUAAGUACUCCGCCUGGGAUUACGGCCGCAAGGUUA